RNAcentral lists this long non-coding RNA (346 nucleotides) under Mytilus galloprovincialis (Mediterranean mussel). The record is from RNAcentral. Lineage: Eukaryota; Metazoa; Mollusca; Bivalvia; Mytilida; Mytilidae.
AAAAAACUUACAAAUAUAGAUUUAUUUCAUCUUCCAGCCAUUGUUCAACUACUAAAUUGUCUGUUUUACUUACUAGUACACUUGGUACAAUUAAAAAACCUGAUAAUAAAUUGUUCAAAUAAGGCCUUUGAAAAUAGUGGAAUUAAUUACUUUUGGAGUGUCAAAAACUCGUUGGAAGUUCUUGAUAAAUUGCAUGCAUAUAUUGGUGAUUUUGAAUCUGUUCAAAGUUUUGAUUUUUCUACCCUAUAUACCACUUUGCCUCAUAUUCUUAUUAAGAAAAAAUUCACAUCCCUAAUCAACUGGGCAUUUAAAAAGUCGGAAUGCGAGUACAUAUGUUCAAACUCUU